RNAcentral lists this long non-coding RNA (12584 nucleotides) under Androctonus crassicauda. Lineage: Eukaryota; Metazoa; Arthropoda; Arachnida; Scorpiones; Buthidae. The record is from RNAcentral.
AGUACAUUUUACUGUCGGGUUCGGUUUUCAUCGAUGGAUCCAUGUAUUUGCCCAGGAGCAGGUUAGUUUGGUCUUUAUUUUUAUUAACGGUAAUAAAUAUACAUGUAUAUAUUCGAUUAAUUUAUAUACAGUAUGUAACGACUCAGUUGCGUUCAGUCUUGUAACGUUACAUAUAUUCGGUAGUGUAGCGAUGCAUUUGUCGGAAUUGCCUUUGGUACCAUUAACGUGCCACACCUGAUUUUAAAAAGCCGUGCCACAUUGGACUUGUGCAUUAUCCCCGUCUUUGACAUACACCUGAUACGACUCUUCCGGGUUAGCAUCAUCCAAAUCGUACCUGAACGGCGCCAGAAUUAAAUCGGAGUUCGUCCUAAAGUGGCAUCCGGCAAAAACAGGUGUCGAAUCAUUUGGGAGGUCAGGAAUAGGGUCAACCCCAACAAGGACGCAGGGGAGGGCGAAUCUCGGCAGGACACGAAACAAGACCGGUUGGACAAGUACCCAGUCAUCUGCCUUCCUCGUAGCCAGUUGAACAAUCCUAGGCAUGCCACUAUGCAUUCUGGGAUACCUACUUGGCCACUUUCCGGUAAGAAGUGUUCCCGCCACCUUCGAUCCUCGGUGGGAUACGUGUGGCCAGUGUGGCGGGAUCGUGUCGUAGGUCAUGACCUCAAAGCUACCAUGUGCAGGUAAGAAUUGUCUAUUUACUAUCUUUAGUCGUUGCCAAAAUUAUUAGAAUGGGCGUUAUAUCCGACACUCGACCGAUGACAGUGGAUGUCUGUACAAAUUCAUUUCUUACCUCUCCAAACUGAGGCCUCUAUGGAAUCGGACCUGCCGAACCAAAAAUUUUCACUCCUUAUACUAUUAAUAAUAAUGAAUGCGUAGGCUAAUAAUAUUAAUAGGAAAGAUAAAAUUAAAAAGCGAGAGCAACCUGUCGUUGUUGGAUCCAAAAAAAGUAUAUAUUGUGCAACAGGUUCCUUUCUGGUACGGCCUCUAGCCAUUUUGUAAAAGUUGUUAUUGUAAAAGACCAGAUAAAUAGCGUUUGUUAACUUUUUCGGUGCAUUGUACCGAAUAAAAAAUAUAUAAGGGGCGACAGUCGGACGUCACGAAUAGCUAAGGUAUGCGGUUCUAAAUGUAGCGAUACAUCACGAAAGGAUGCAAUUUUUUAUGAUUUAUGAAUUGCCCUUAAUCCAAUAAACAUAAAAAACAUAGCUACAGGGGCAUUUUCCGAAUUCGGCGAGGUGCUGAACCUUCUUCAAUCUUCCUCCUCUUUCCAUUAAAUUUCCUGCAUAAAAUCGGUAGAGAAAAAAUUGUACCGUAUUCAUAUCGUUGUAGCAGUUGAAGUUGAUAAAUUAUCAGCCGUUCAAUAGAAAAUAUGUAAGAUGUGUGUGUGUGUCACAUAGGAUCGGUAUUAAAUACACAAUUUAGUUCUGCAUUUUAAUAUAUAUAUAUAGAAUAUAAAUAAUUUUUUGUUGGAAAAACAUUUAAUGGUGUUAACAUGAAUAAUGCAACGGCAGGUGGUUCACCCGAAAUGUUAAUUUGCUCCCUCCGAAGAAUUUUAAUGCAUUUCUUCAAAUACGAAUGGCGUAGCACCCAUCCGAUUGUGUAAGGUUGGUUUGGCUGUGCACGUGCUGGGCUUGGUCCUUCUCACUGGUAUGCGGGGUAUACGGGGAUACUUUACCAUUGGCCCACCAAAAAUGUACUUAUGCGGGGGUCGUUCGAUGUCACGUGUAUUAUGGGGCUUUAUACAUUAUAGAUUCUUCCGAUAGAGGGCCGGAGAUGAAAGGUGAUACGUCGAUGGGUUCUCGCUGUCGCCUGAAUUGAAGAUAUUUUAGCUUCUCUAUAUUUUAGGAUAGAAGCUUAAAUGGAGCUCAGUCUAUGUUGAAACUGCGUUUCCAUUUUAGUAGACUUAAGCACGCAUGAAUGGGAGCCGUCUAUUGUUCGGCCGUCCUUUGUGCCCACCGACUUCUUACAGGUAAAGCUAAGUUUAAGAUGCCAAUCUUGUUGACGUCAUCAAGUCACGUGUGAAGUUGAACGACCGCGGAAUCGACCAACAAUUUUUAGACUGUGCACAUAUCCAUCUGUAGGAUUUACACUCUUAAUAAAUCUCCAGACGCUCGGGAAGUAACUUCCUUAAAAGUGUUUUUGGAGCGAGAUACAACCAGCUUUUAAAGACUUGACUUUCUCCAUUUUCUCACGGAGCGACAAACCGGAAAUAGACUGCUUUGGCAGCCUGGCUUUCUACUUCCGUUGGCGUCGAGGUGACGUCAUCGAAAGGGACUGAUGAUAAAAUUUGAUUAGAAGAAAAAGGAGUCCAGCAGCUCGAAUGAUUUCCCUUUCAACUAUAGCUGCUGUGUUUCAAAUAAAGUACAGUAAAGGCGUUGUUUGCUUUCUGUAUAAAAUAAAAAAUGAAUGAACUGUAUUGGAUUUAAAGCUAAGAAAAUUGCGCCACUUAACCUGACUAGAUCGAAUGAUACCAACUAAGUUUUAAAUGUCUACAUACUUCACAAUACAAAUUAUUGUCGCGUUUUUGACGCAAGAUUCUCUACCCAUCCUUUUUAAUCGUGGAUUAAACUGUGUUGAUUAAUGCAGCUUCAUCUUUAUACAUUAAAAUGCAGUUUUGUUCAGAUUAUCGGCCAAAGCGAAACACCACACUAGAUCGAUUUAUUGAGAUUAAUUUUUUCUUUUUUUAUUUAUUAAUUGACAACAUUAGGAGCUUAGCUUCCUUCUUUUGUUUUUAUUUUUGUUAAGCCAUUUAUUUGAUUGCCAUUUAAGUGCAGAAGUCUUUGACCUUGACGCACUGUUAAUGUGUGACUCUGUUGUUCUGACUUUCACUUGGAUUUUUCGAGCCUUUUUCUCCUAGAAGUCGUACUAAAAUAAAUAGUUUCUUAUAGUUAAAAAUAAUAAUAGUGUAAUUGGAAUAAUACCUGUCAUAAAUACGAUUUAACUAGUUGAAUUGUAUUAUUUUUCCUUGUGCACAGAUAAUUGCAAAGAUCUCUAGUAAACAUUUCGAGGAAAGUAAUAUCCUGUCCAACAGGUAAAGGAGUUAAGUUCCCCUCUCUUGGCUACAUACAUCAUCCACGUGUUUUAGAAAAUAGCAUUUUUCCUGUGGCGCAACUUAGUAAGUAUUGUUUUCGACACAACGGACGGAACUCUCCGUACCCCCGAGGAGUUCUUUUCCUGUGGAAUAUAACGACCUGUAUGAGUUAAAAAAGAAGAGCGAUAAUCUUCGAAUAGGAAACAAUAUCCGCUCCGAAAGAUAAGAACCUCAUUAAGAAGUUAAUAAGUACCAUGCGUGUAGCAUAAUGUAAGGAAUAUCGAAAGGUUCUUUUAUUAAAAUGCCGGAUGAGUAAUUGCUGUUGACAAUUUAUCGAGCAUGCUCCGUUCACUUCCGUAUAUCACGUCCGACUAGUCGGGUGACAUUUUUCUCCACUUCAUUUCGUCUGCAUUUCCAUCUGUAAUUACUACGUCGCUCCAUCUCAAUAAGUUGCGCAUCGAUAAAUUUUAUUCCUAUUGUAUCUGUAUAUCGCCAUAAAUUUUAUUCCUGUUUUUGAGCGCACCCUUUAUAUCUUGCAAAUUUUUAUUGUAUCCUACGCCUUGCGCGGUGGUGAAAUUAAGCGUGUCCCCUUAUUGCAUUUUUGUGCAAUAAGGCGAACGUGGUUAAUUUUAUAUCCGCGCAAGGCGUCAUAUUUGCAUUUUUAAACUUAUAAACGAUGGUUCUGUUAAAGGCGCAUCAGACUAUCGAUAAAGAAGACAUCAAAUGGAUACAUAUAUAUAUAUUCCGCCCGCUAUUAAUGGUAGUCGAGACUACAUUUUUUCGAUAUUAAGAUGUCUCGGAUUGAAACUUGACAAAUAAUAAAUGAAAAAUGCUGGGCGUGUAGAAUCGAAAGUUUAUUUUAGGCUUCUCCAUCUCUUCCCCAAAGAAUGAUUUUUAAAUUUCCAGAAUAAGAAACUAAAAGUAAAAAGCAAAAAAUUGCGGGUCUUUUUGGGCACUUAGGUGACGCAACGUCAUAUUUCUCUAUAUAGAGAAUCCGUUACUUAUCUCGGCUUCAUACAUCAAGCAAUUGUGAGGAGAAGGCAGGCAAUCAAUUUUCCUUCACCCGCUUUACUUCCACUUCCGAAUGAGGUGACAUCAUAACAUCAGAUAACUUCUGCCGAUAAGGCGAUAAAAGUUGUGUACGCGCUGUUCUAUUAUUUGCUUCCCCCAGAAAAAGUAGAAUUCAUUAAAAUCCUAUCAUUUUCUGACAGCAGCUAUCGGGAUUAGAGAGCGGGGUUGGCUAGCUAACUACUUAAGUUAACACAUUAACGCUUUUCGGCUUGAUUAAGCUUUGGAAAAAGAUUUCCUUCUCCCCGCAACUUUCUCAUUAGAGGAAACCCGGAGAUUUCUUCCUGCCAGGUGGCUUCCGCAUUUUCACUUUCAUUUCCGAAUGGAAACUUCCAACCACCAGCGAGGUUCAGUUCGGACGAUGAUUUGCCAACCGCUUAACGUCCUGUAUCUGUUGGAAAAGGAGAUGGCGUGCCACUGUACCUCCCACUCGUCACGCGAGCCUUGUAAUUACUUGUCGCCGGAUGGAAUCCUUAUCUGCACCCAGAGUAGUAAAGCACAAAUGGAAUUCUAUCCUCCUCCCUAAUGUUUUGUUGCCAGAAAGAAAAAAAUUGAUGUUGGCAGUUGGCUAGAAGAGCGACCCAAAUUGGGUCGACUAAUUGCCGACCAUUAACGAAAUUGUCUCACGGUCUUGUUGUAAACAGAAGGCUAAUCGCCUCGGAUCAACAAAGUUUAAUUUUUGUAAAUUGGAUCCACUCCAUAAUCGACAGAACGGUUGGGAGAGUCGAUAAAACUUCAGUUUCCAUGGCCAAGAACGAUACGCCUGAAAUAAAUAGGAACCAACCAAAGUCAUGGUUGGGAGUCACAUUGAUAAAAAUCACUUUUGAAAGUGUGAUGGAAAUCAUUGUCUGUGGCAAAGGGGUCAAAAUCGGCGUGUGUGGCCAGCCAAGAACUGUAUAGAUACUAAAGCGCCAACAGGUGACCUUAAUAAGGUGUCGGAUGUGGAACCAAAGCGGAUCUACCGGGAAUCGGUGGGGCGUGAAGACCGUUGUGCAGCGAAAAACUGGGUUAACGGAGUGAAUCUUUCGUCAAUUCCUACCCAUUGUCUGCCGAAAGUUUGAAUAGAGGAGUUAACUAAAACACAGAAUUCCUAAUUAGAUUAAUAGUGACGACAGUCAAAUAGUUACGUAAUCGGCAAUUAGAAAUGCUAGAUUUUUUCCCUAGAAACUUAGAUUAAAUACUUUUAAGCCAGUUUCUAACAUUUUAAUUGGCUAAUGGCCACGCGCACGGCCUUUAAUGUGACACGGAUCGGCACAUUACGCAGUUAGAUGCACCUUGCACCGAACGAUUCAUAAAUCAAAUUAAUAUCCAAAUUAAUUUCCGCGUUGGUGUGCGGCGAAUUGUUGGGAUCGAAAGCGGAAAUUGGUAGUUUUAAGCCAUUGCUCGCCCCACUUUUCGAUCGAAAGGGAACAGUUGUUCGGAAGGAAUGGUUUUUAUGCGCCACUACUACACCUACACCAACGUUUUGUUUUGUUACUUUCCUCGAGGUGGUGUUGGAACACCGCUUCUAAGAACUCGUACUAGCUGAUCGAAUGACCACUCGUCGAUGCUCACUUAAUUUUAGCAACUGGCCAUACCACUUAGGUAUCAGUUACACGUUUAUGAAAGGUUCUCGAUUUGACACGCGAUUGUUUUUGCCUCUGCCCGUCUGUUCAGACUGCUCUUAUUUUAAAGACCACGUUAAAAACUGCUGCUACAGUCUACUUACUGCCAAUACUCGUCAACUGGACUUAUCUGCGAAGUUAUGCCAUUUUGUCUGGAUAAUAUUUACGCACGCUCCUUCUUACUGCCACCGAAUCAAAGACUCGGUUCGACCGUCAAAUACCAUAAAUGGCGUUUUUUUCAGGCGGGUAAAGAUAUCGGGUGGUAAUUUUAAACCGCUUUGGCUAUCGGAACGGGUUUAAUUAUGCCUUUAUUACUACAGUAGUAGUAAAAGAGUAGCGGCGGUUAGGUUCUGCCAACGGCCGCGAGGGGAGCUGCUAUCGGCCUGAUGGAUUUACGCCGGCUCGGUACCACGGGCCGACCAGUGGCGAUGUCGAAAGCGAAUGGGCUAGUGCUCGACCGUAGCCUUGGGUAAUAAGGUCGGAUAUGGAAGCCCUCAGAAGAAGACACAGUUCGUUUAAAGAGGGCACUAAGAAGACUUGUAUAGCCAAGAGGAGAUUCUCGAUAUGGUGAGUCUGUUGGGUAUUGGCCAGGUUUUGAUCUUUCUGUCGGAAUUAUAUUAUAUACAGAUUGUUAAUCGGUAGAAAUAAGGCCCUCAUCUGGACAGUUGAGAUCUUAUACUUUUCCAAAAUAUUUUUCUCUCGAUAAAUAUUUCGGGAGAAAGUUUCAGCCGAUGUAUAUCGUUCUGACAGCUUCUGUCACGAUCCGGUUGAGAUGUAGCAAAAUCAAGUUGGUGUAAAUAAAUCCGAGGUGGUUGGAUUAUUUGUAGUUCGGGUCGAUCGGUUAAUCUUCCUCGCUAAUUGAUGGGGAUUGUUGUUUUGUUGUGUUGGCUUUUGAAGAAGGAAAUCGGCUUUACUCGCGCGUCCAAGGCCGAUUCAUCACUCCAACUAAUCCAGACAAUGAUGUUGGUUACGCGGCCGUGAUUAUGCCGGAAAUAAUGAGGACGACACCGUUUCUUUGGGCUCUAUAGUCUACCGAAUGCCUGUCGCCCAUUGGUCUAACCUGCCCACACCAUUUCCUGUAAACCGAUAAUUCGAACCACACUUCCCGAGCGAGAAUUCUCUCUAAUCCGUUUGAUUUGUUUUUAAUCUUCCCAACAACCAGUUAUCCUCAGGAUUAACGACUGAUAACUCCUCGGUAUCGAAUAAACAUGGGUCGAAUGGUUGUUGGCGCCAUUCCCAUUUUAAGCUUAGAAAUUUCUAGGAAAAUUUCUGUUUAGACCCCUGCCAGUAUCGAGGGUGUGCUAAAUAAACUUACUUUAACUGAUUCACUAAGUCCAAGUUCUGUGUUUAUGUUUCUAGAUAAAUGUCUUUAGACCCGCGAGACAGGACAUUCUAACUCGUCUCUUUGUUUUAAUCUCCUUCAGAUCCUAUCUGAACUGGAUCUCAUUCUAUUUCCCAUCGAGUUGAUUCUGCCUUGUUGGUCAAUAUACCAAAGUGUGUUUUAAGAUAGAGAAUUGUAAAUCUCAUCCGAUUUUAUAGCCUACGCUAACGCCGAUCGCUUACGCGUGAAAGGGGAUUCGUUAUACACGACAGAUGCUUCCGUGGGACGCCAGGUUACGUGACGGAAAAGUCCCCCAGGUGGGUGUAGUUGAUGACUCAUCUUUGGUUAUCUUACGAACCUUAGUGACUCAGAACGGACCGAAGUUGAUCGGAUGCGUGGCGACAACGCCCAUGGUGCUUUAAUUAUCCUAAAUCGCUGGUUAAUUAUUUAUCAUAAAUUUUCCCAGGUGACUAUCGGGUUGGGAACUUUGCAUUAAAUUUAGCUGGAUUUACCCAAUACCAGAAGUUGAAUUACCUAAACAACAAAUUCGAAAGAAUUAAUCGAAGAUACGAUACCGGUCAUAAGUUGUGAAAACACAUCUGUGCAUUGUCUGAUCACUAGCUGUUAUCGAGUUUAUAAUAUGUUAAGUUGACAGCUUUAUACUAGAUUCGUUUUUGUUGCGAAUGGAGACAGGGGCCUCACCAUCACUGCUGCCGUAUCAAAAGCAUUGGGGGAUAAGUAGAUCGAAUAGGAAUAAAAAAGUUUUUCAUGAUAAAUCGACGCGAUCGCACCAUCUGUUUUUUUAAUAAAAGCGAUACGAUUGCGCUUAUUCGGAUAACAUCUGCCACUAAUAGUUAUUUUUCGGGAGGGUGGGCAUCUGUUAACUCCCAAACCGCCUUUCGUCUCAGUUCCCGUUCGUCCCGGACGACACGACAAAAGGGGUUAAUCGAAUUAGAAAACGAUAUCCUCUCGGGUAGCUGUAGUGUUCGCUUUAUUGUUAACGUAGAAGUAUCGAGGAAUUAUGACGCGGAGGAAGGUUGGAAAUUUGACCAAGGUCAUUUUGGAACGACGUAAAUGCCAUGAAAAAAGAGGAUAGGUUACGUCAUUACCAACGGAUGUCAGUGAGAGUCGACCUCCCGUUUAUUCCCAAUUUCGUUAUUAAAUUUCUUAUUUUUAGGAUAUAUCUUGUUAAUAUACUACAACUGGCGUAAGUUUUUAAAUGGUAUUUUGGUUGCAGUGUUCUGCCUAUUACCUACUCCUUUGUAUGCAGUGAAAACAUCUGUUCUUCCAUCGAACAGACGCCAUUGACGGGAAUUAAAAAAUGAUUACGUUUAUAUAAAUGGCGUCUUGAUCCCGGGCAUCCGACUUUAUUAGUUAUAAUUCUCUGGCUAACGGUCACCGACUUUUGUCAUUUGGCCCGUUCCCUCUUUCACCUUCUACUACCGACCAUUUUGCCAGUUGACGUGUGAAGAACAUUCUCUUCUACUCUUAGCAGAAGAUGAGGCUGAAGGGCGCCUUGGCUCUUUUCGGCAACGAUGCAAAGUAAGUGGUUGGGGAGAAUUUUUUUUGUCAGCCGGAAUGAAAUCUGUUAAUUUUAUCGAGGAAUCCUAAUGCGGUUCGUCGAUCUCCAUUCUUUGGCGUCAGUUGUGCCGCCAGUCUGGCUGCAGUGUAGUUUAAAAGCGAUGUAAAAUUGAAUAGAACCAAUAAGGAAAAUCUCCCGAGAUUAUUUUAGUCGAUUAGCUUAGAAAUGCAGAUUCAUCGUGUUUAGCGAAUUAUUUGGAAGUACAUUUAAAGCGGGAGAGAUUUUUAUUGCGCAUUCAACCACCAUAGAGCAAAAUAUCCGAAUUUCUUGAUACAAUAAGCGCGUGUGGCUAGCAAAACGUACAGUGGAAGUGCUACGGGACCUUCAUCAUUUGCACCUAUAUAAACAGUGCACGCUCUUCACCGUGCCUGUGUCACUCUUCCAUAAAUCACCGCUGGUCUUCGGACGAUGGGUGGAGUCGCUUCUCGGGAAUUAUUCAACGGAGCAUUCCCCGGCGGUCUUGUUUAAUAUUUAUCGGAUAAUCAGUUUUUCCGGGCGUUCUAGGGUCGAAAAGUGCGAUCCCUGGAGAGAUGCUUUUCAGACUCGUCUCUCCAGUCGAAUUAUAUUAAGGUCUUUGUUACUUGAAUGAUAGCUUUCAAUAAGGAAGAACCUAGUUAAACACGGCUGAAGGUUUUUAUUACGGCUCCAAUUACAGUUAUGAGCUGCAACGCCUGCCAUGGGAGUCAGACUAGGGCUUUUUAUUUGUCUAGUUGAAGUAUGGCAAUAAGUUUACCCGGCAUCCCUUUUUUCUUCCUAAAUCAAAUCGUAUCGAUACUCCACCAGGCGGCGCUGAUGCCGAAUAACUAGGUUUAAAUGAAUUUGGCCGGAAUAAGGAUGCAAAUGGCCCAGUCGUGUUUUUUUCCUGAUCAAAUCAGAGUUUGGGCAAGAGAAACUUGGCUCCUUUUUACAUAAUAAAACAUUUAGAAGGCGGGACUGCGUCGGUCGCGUGUGUUUUACUCUACUGAGUUUUGUCGACUCGGUAACAUCGCAGAUAAUCUUCUGAUAGAAUGCCUAAUGGUAGAGACAACAAAUCCCUCUAUUGUUAAAAACUAGUCGGACCGCCGUUUUUUCAUAUUCCCGAGCAUUAUCAUUUUUAAAACUUGUUCCUAUCCAUGGAACUUUUCUGGUCUAUCGCUGAUCGACCAGUGAGUAGGGAGUUCGAAUAUCUUAAGAAUUUGAUAGUUCGAUCAACCGAAUAACCUGAACGUCCAAUGCGUGUGCCUUGGCUACACCUGGUUAAUCCUAGUGUCGUGAGAACUAUCUAACGCUAUUCGAUGGGUUCAAGGUCUGUCGAACCAUCGUCUCCUAUCUGUCCAAUGGACUGUCCCAUUACUCAGCAGUCACCUCGUUCCUCUAUCAACUCCGACUCUACUUCCUAUGCUAAUUGAAUAUCUAGAAAUACCUCCGGAUCGAUAGAGCGUGGCGGUGGUUUCGGGUCACCUGGCCGCCAUGCCAUCUCUUAGAAUGUCUAUCGUUACUCGGAUGGCGCCCCUCCUUUCCAAUGGCCAUUCGGUAUUUGGGUGGUCUAGUUGGUGGAUAGUAAAUUCCCGCAAAUCCUCUAUUUGGAACUCGGAUCAGCAUCUCGCUUUAGGAAGUGUUAGCCGUUCCUCCAGGUUUAUUAAAGUUAAGAAAAUUCUCCAUUUCGCUUCUCCCGAUUUAUUGCUUUCGGCAAAAUCCUUGGUGUUUAAUAGUCUGCUGCCAUUCUCCAUUGUGCAAUUUUCGGAUUUUAGUAGUUUCUGUUGCGCUUUACCGCUAUUUUCAUUGUUCCAUUUUUGCCUGUAAAGACAGUUACGGUUUUUCUAAUUUGUUGCGCUUAGAAAAUUGAUUUAUCUUUUUAAAAACGAGAAUUAUAGGCUAGACCAUUAGAAAGUAGGAUGGAAGUUAAUGUGGCAGCCAGUAGUAACUUGGACGUAUCACAUAUUUGAAUAGUAAUUAGAUAAUGGAAAACCUUUGAUUCUCCCGCCGAAAGACUUUUCGGAUUAAACAAUAACAAAUUUCUUGUCCACUAGACCAGUUAUCCUCUUUCCCACUUCCAGUUUUUUAAGAGUCCGAACCGUCCGUAACUUUUCUCGAUAGAAAAAUUUUUGCUUUACUUAGAUUAUAAGACUAAAUUCUCUACUAAUUCUGUUAAAAACACAAUAGUUGAUGAUGUCUAGUUGUUGCAUCGAUUACGGCUUUGUAUCAAUAUUACUAAAAAUCAACCGAGAAUUCGCCAUAUUGAUAGUAGACUAACCAUUAACGCUUCUCACCACACUAAUAAUCGUCCGUGAUUAUUUCGCUACCACUUUCACCUGUUCGUUAGUCUGUACGUAAAUAUUUCAUCGCUUUCGUGAAACUUGACCACGUUUAUCUUUUGUUGAUGGUACGACCGGUAUCAGCAGGUCCAGAUGAUUUUUUCUGCACUUUCUACCGUCACUUUCUGUUCACUUGGGAUUUUUAGUUUCACUCCGUUUUUCCAUCGUAGUCAGAUGUUAAGAUGCGGAUCCAUCCCAGAAUCCAUCCACCGACUGCCUAUACUAGUAGAGGGGAUCGCCUGAUAGGUGAGGAAUGAGGAUUGAUGGAGGUAAUCCUGGAUUCACUCUAAAAAAACCGAAAAAAAAGGAUGUACGGGAUUAAACCAUUACAUAUAACCUCUCUUUCAUGAUAGGUAAGGGUAUAUCGGACUCUGAAUCAAUUGGGGAUUUUCCAGAUGAGGGACAGAUGCUUCAGCACAAAGCUUGUCAAACCUGAUUGGUAUAGAAUCGGAUGAAUAUUUAAUAUUUAGAAGAAUAAACGAAACAGGCUUUGGCCGACAAGCCCCAUCCAUAAUGAUUCUACAACAAUUAGUAUUAUUAUUUAAGUGGAAACUAGACCAAUGUAUUACUAGCCAAUAUAAUGGCAGGUGGAUAAAUAUCUCUCAUCUCUGAUAGAAAUUUUACAUUAAAGUACUAUUAAAAGUUAUAAUUGAAGAAUUAUAACUUUUAAUCAGACUACUUUAAAAAUAUUUAACUCGAAAAGUUAAUAAUUAUUUUUAAUUAAAAUUUUCAUGGUAGAAAAGAGUAGAAUUAUAUUUCGGAAGAUUAAGAUUCUUAACGGCGAAGAAUUCUCACCAAAAUAGUUAUGGUGGCGAUAAUUAUGUAGAAAAAAUAUUGGUGGUUGUUUGGCUGCAAAAGUGCACUUUAGGCCGGGACACGAGCUGACCGCGCGCUCUUUCAUGAUCCGGAGUCAUCGAUCAUGAAGAUAGGCACCACGCCCUAUUUUUACCAUCUUCGCGUUUUUACGACGUCUGUCAUCUGGGAACGGGUCGAUAAGUCGUACACCUGCUAAGGAAUGGACGCACUUUCACCGCCUUUCCACUGCUGGAUGAUUUAUAAAAUGCGCUUGGUUAACAUUUGAAUACAGUGCCAAAGUUAAAACUCUGAUCCCUUUCUCUUAAUUAUUAAUUAUCAUGUUAAAUAGAACGAGCGCGACCCGAAUUAUCGCGCCAACGGUCCAACCCGUUGGACCACACCUCCUCGCUAGUUACCAACUCGGUUCGCCAGACGGAGCCACCUUCGCCCACACACGUCUGGCCCCGCAGCAGUCGAACUUAGGCCCAUCUACAGACACGUCCGAUACAUCUUAAACCUUACGCACUACCCCAGACUUGGGAGUGACGGCCCGUGGGAGAGAGCUGACGUCACUAUCGACUUUCGCUAGCGUCGAGAAGCUGAUUUCGGCCAGAAUAUGGAAGUGUUAACUUCCACGUGGAUGUUCUCCGCUUUUGUUGUUGUUUAUCAAGCCACUGGCCUUGUCGGCUGCGGUGCACGUUGAUGCGGAUUCUACCAUCGCGUAUCGGAAGGGGAAUCCAGUGGAUGUGCCUCGUUGCUUAUAACCGAGACAAUGUCUAGAUCAAACAUGGAUUUGGUCUUGGCCGAACUGAAAACCAGUCAACGGUUUCAAAGUUUCGGAAAAAGGUCCGGGGGAAGCGGAAGACGGGUCAACGAAUGCCUCAUCCUCGAG